This 8670-nucleotide long non-coding RNA is filed under the name Lactuca sativa (garden lettuce). Its description in RNAcentral is "long non-coding RNA (LSAT_LNC006174)". The record is from RNAcentral. Lineage: Eukaryota; Viridiplantae; Streptophyta; Magnoliopsida; Asterales; Asteraceae.
AUGAAUAUAAGUAUGAAACAAUGCACUGACGCAAUAGAUAUAUCAAAAAAAAUAUAGUGACCAACAUUGGCAUAUAUAUUAGUAUUUGGUUAAGAAGAAUAUAUUAUUGGUUUAUAUUCCAAAAUCAGAAAUUUCUUUUCUUAGUAAAUAUUUACAUCUAGUAUCCAAGCAUAAAACUAUAAUAACACCAAGUGCAAAAAGGAAUCAGCACUUUCCGGUUCAUUUUUAUUCAGAAAAAGAGAUGCAGUUUUUUGCAGAAAAAUAACAGAAGAUGGUUAGAUAUCACAAGACAUGGGAACCAUGGGCCAUAGAAAGAAACUUGCUUCAUAUAUAUAACGAGUGAAUCAGAAUUUUAACCACUCUAACUAUUUGUCACAGCAUUGAAAAAUAAACAUUGCACCUGUGAAAAUAAAUGAAAACACCGCCACCUAAGAACAUCCACUAUUGUAAAGCUUAUUUAUUAUGGCAAGUCAAUAAAAAAUUAUCUUUAAAAACCUUCUCCAAAGCACACGUUUUUCUUUUUUUUAUAAUUAAACAUUUACCCCAUCUAUUUGAUAUGUUUUAAAAAACCUCCUAUAAUUUUUUUUGUUUUUUAAGCACACAUCAUAUUUCAAAUUGAUGACUUGAUGUUAUUGUUGGGUUAAUCUUAAUGAUUCAAGUCAGGUUAAGCUGGAUCACGGUUAUGGGUUUGAAUGGGCCAGUCCAAGUUCUUUAUGCACAGUCUUAAUAAUAAAGACUUAGUCUAAUAAUGAAGACCUGGUUUGGUUUGGUGGGGUUUAAUAACGUGGACUUAGUAGUCCUAUCUUUAAGGUUUCUUAGCUCAUGAUAGUUCUCCUUCUUCUUAGGAUGUUAAUUAGUAUAUAUAAACAGAGUAGAAUUUAUCUUCUAGCUGUAGUGGGACGUGUAUGUAUAAUUUUCUGUUUUCUAUAUAAUGAAUGAGUGUGAUACACAGAAAAAUUGUCCCCCCUUGAGAUCUUUUGUUUUGCUUUAACUGUGAAUGUUCAUGUAUGUUUGAUCAUGAGCAAAGCAUGUUUCAACAGUUAUUUUAUCAAUUAUAUAGUAGAAGAAAAACAAUAAAUUCUAAUUUUUAUUUGCAUAUUUGACUAAUUAGAUUAAAUAGUGAAAAAUGAUAAAGCUAUAAAAUAUGCAAAUAUUAUUGAAAGGCAUAAAAUGAAAAUGUUAUUAAGAUGAGGGGGUAGAAAAAAAUACUACAAUAGAUAAAUAAGUAGUUGGUGAAGGAUAAGUGUUUGAUAGAAUAGAAUAGUAAAAUAAGCUACGCACUGAAAAAAAAAAGUUGUGCUUUUAGUUUUUGUUCAAAAACACAAGAAAUUGCAAACUUUGGUGAUAUUAUGCAUUUUCCCAAGCACAUUAAUUAGAUGUUCUACAACAGAAUGACAAGUAAUACAACUGCAAAUACAUUUCAUUCUUCAUUGACAUACUGCAUAGUAGUAAAAAAAAUUAAUAACUAUAUAAUUAUUAAAAGUGUUUUUUGAAAAAAAAAAAAACAAAACAAAAAAGGUAUCUUAAACAAAUGCACACAAAUAAACUGAUGAAAUGGCAUACCAACAUAAUCACGUACGUGGUGGUCAAGUGUCAAACAUAAAUGGCCCUUCAGUUUGUUUUGAGUCAGUUAUAUAUGCAAAUCUUCCUGUAGCCACAUGGCAGAUUGUUAUGCUUCCUUUCCUAAGGCUGCAGUAAGAUCACAGCAUCUGAUACUUAGAUUCGUAUGUACUUUCAAGUGCACAGCACAAUCUCUUCUUUAUCACAAAAAGACAAACAAAACACGGGCACGCAGAUAGAGAAAUUAGAAGGGUGACCUUUCAGUUUCACUACAUUCAUUGAGCUGGUAACCAAGUACAUCCAAAUCACAAAAUAAGACAAAAAAGUCUAAGGGUAUGUCAAAAAUUAGAGAUUAUCUAAUAUUGCUAUGAUUUCCCUGCAUGUUUUGUGCUAACUGUGUAGGCUGAAGUUAAUAUAACCAUCAUAUGUUUGAUGCCAAAACAAGCCUAUUCACAAAGAAUGACUUGAUGUGAGAAAUAACAUUUUGUGCACAUUGUGCAUACAAUAAGCAAGCGAUAUUCACGUGGGUGAUAAUUCGUGGGACAAAGUAAAGAAUGCAAGGAUGUUCUGUAAUCAUUGUCAUACAUUUGACGAUUCCACACUUCAUUUCCCUUAAGCUUUUGUUCAUACCCUUGAAGUUAAAGUCAUUUCAAUGGAUAAGCAUCUUCCUCGUCUAAAUAGAUGUUCUGAGAAAGAAAGCUCUUGACUUUAAAUUAGUUGACAAAUAUACAUAUGCUUACACAUGACAUGUAAUCACCAAACUACCUACCGACUGGCCUAUACAGUUGCCAAGAAUUUUUUAAUUGAUUCUCAAGGUUAAAGAUACUUUUCUUCCAUGCAUAUCAACCUACAGAGAAGAGAAGCCACUUGUUAUAUACAAAGCAAUUGCUUAGUAAUUUCCUAUCAUCUGCAAGUCUGAUAAAGAAUAUGAUCUUUUUUGCAGAAUCUAAUAAGAACCACCGCCCAAAAUUUUCAACACUUAUCACUAUAUAUAUAGCCAUGGCAGUAGCUUACAUUACUCACAGCAAACAUCGAUCACACCUAACUUUCUACAUACAGCCUCUAACAACCUCACUUGCAACGAUUUAUUCUACUAAUUAAAUCUAGUGUUGUUUUAUAAUACUUUUAUAAAACAUCAGCUGCUAGAAUUUCCAGAAAUGGCUUUGGUUAGAGCACUGGUGAAUGAAAGGCCUGUGGUUAUAUUCAGCAAAAGCUCCUGCUGCAUGUGCUACACCAUUAAGACACUGAUAAGCAGUUUUGGGGCAAAUCCUACAGUUUAUGAGGUAGAUGAGCAUCCACAAGGGAAGCAGAUAGAGAAGGAACUGAGAGGAUUAGGGUGCAAGCCAAGUGUGCCAGCUGUGUUCAUAGGAGAGGAGCUCAUUGGUGGUGCCAAUGAAAUAAUGAGCCUUCAUCUCAAGGGUCAGCUGGUACCCUUGCUCCUUAAUGCUAAUGCCAUAUGGCUUUAGUCAAACAUGUUCACAAAUAUCAAGUUCCUACAAUAUUGUAAAGGUUGGAGCAGAUUGAUGCAUUAUAGUCAUUAGAACAGGAACAGAAAGAAAUGUUUUUAGCCUUCUUUUUGCUCUUCUGAGGCCAAUCAUAACUAAUGUGCUAACUUCCAUAUGUAAUUUCACUACCUUUUGAGAAACAAUAAUAAGAGAUAAGAUAUUUUUCAGGAGCUACAACUCAACGCUAAUGCUAUAUGGCUUUAGUCAAUUACCAUAUUAAAGAAUAUCAAGUUCCAACAAUAUUGUAUGUAAUUUCAAUACUUACUGAGAAGCAGAUUGAUGCAUUAUAUCAUUAGAAAAGGAACAGAAAGAAAUUCUUUCAGCCUUCUUUUUUGCGCUUCUGAGGCCAAUGAUAACUUAUGUGUUAACUUCUAUAUGUAAUUUCACUACUUUUUGAGAAGCAAUGAGAGAUACGAUGUUAUUAAGGAGCUACUACUACUGCUCUUAAUGUUAAAAUUUGAUGUUAAAAAGUGUGUAAUUAACAUCUCUUGUAUUCUAGCACUGAAAAAUUUAUUGUAUUCUGGAGGCUUAAUUGCAACCAGAAGCAACUGAAGUACAAGAAAUAUUCUAAGAUUCCAAUUUUUUCCUUCCUUCCAUUAUAGAAGCUUAUACUUCAAGGCUCUGUUGUGGUCAUUUAUUGAUCAUUGAUGUUAUUACUUUGAUAAAUUCAAUGAUACAAGAUUACUUGGAUUGCCUCAAAGUGCCCGUAUACAUCAUAGUAAUAGUUUGCAUUAGGCUCUAUAUUAACAAACGGCUAAAUUCAAUCUGUGCUUGGGUUCCUUUAUGUUCAUGUACUGAGAUAUUAUCUUCCGAUAAUAUAGGUAUAUAUCGUCAUACUUCACCAGUUAACUUUUGGGAAAAUUUACUUGUUAUUUUAUGUCUCCACUUCAUGUAUACAGAAACUUGUGCAUACUUGUGUGUCACUAUGAUGAAGCAAAAUAACAUAUGGAUAGAAAAUCAAGAUGCCAUAAUAACAUGGUUUACUGAUCUUGGUUCUUGAUCUAGAUUUGGAUAAGUAAGAUCUGUAAGUACUGAAAAGAAUAAGUUCCAAAACAGGUUUUAAUGAAGAAUGGUUCAUAGCAAUAUCAUGAACUUAGUUUACGUGACUAUGCUAUGCAUGCUAUAUAUAUUGGAAAUUUGAAGCCUCUUUUUCUUACAAGACUUUUAUCUUAUCUAACCUACACCAUAUAAUCAGCAAAAUAGAAAAAAGACAUGUGAUGCCAGGACUCGUUUGCUUAUGUUAGUCCAUACAUACUAACUGCCUUUUUGAUCAGAAAACAAAAAAAAAUGGAAAGUUAAAACUAUAUUAACAGAUUCUAUGCCAAAAGCCAUGAAGAAAAUGUUGAAAUGAUAUAUUAUUAUGGUAAAGCAAGUUCUCUUGAGCACUGAAGACAAAUAUGAAUGAAAGUUUUCAAAAGUCGAUAUAUAAGUUUACUGAUAUCUGACUUUUGUAUAAGUUGGUGAGCCUAUAUAACUGUCCCUUAGUUUCAGUUUGGGCCAGUUAUACAAAUUGAUUCCACCAGUUCAUACCACAUGCAUGUCAUAAUUUUCCUCUUGUUUUGGCUUUUGGGCUGGCAUGUAUGUGGCCAUAUAUAGGACCAGGAAAUAAUAAAUUUCAUUUGAUCCAUCACCAUCAUCACACAACAAAGAUGAGGGGAUAUAUUCAUCCAAUACAUCUAUCUGGAUCAAGAUAGACCUCGAAUUCUCUACAAAAGCUAACUACUGCUAAAAAGAUACAACAUGUCGUCAUCAUUACCUCAUAAUUUCAGCCACUAGCUGUCCUUAGUGGUUUCUUCAGUAAGAAGAGUUAGUAGACGUGGCACUCACUAACUAACUAACUAAGUGAUCUUAAGAAACAAUGAUUAAAUCCUUGGGGAUAAAUGAUAAUCCUCUUUCCUACUUGUACGGAUGGACUUUAUCAUACUAAAUAAGCUUCUAACUAUUUCAAAAUUCUGACUUCCUUUGUCGUUUCGGUUUACUAUAGAUAUGGACACAUGGGAAUCUUAAUAAAGAUAAUCUAAAAUCCAAUUUCUAUCUUUAGGUAACAAAGAUAUAUUCUCGAUCCCUUGUCCGAUUAUUCUGAAUACUAAUUAAUGCACCAAUUACACUUGCAGCCUACCAUACCAAUAGUUUUAAGAGUAAUCUCAGCUAGCAUUAGAUAAGGUAUUGUUUAUGAACAACAUCACAAUAUUCCUUUUAAAUUCUCUUUUACAUUUCAGUCCAGUACUCUUAACCCUCUAUAUAUAGGAAAUGAUGGGAGUUCCUAUUUCCUCAAUGUAAGGUCUUCAUUUACCUAAAAACUUUUUUCUUUGCAUAACGCUCCCUUAAUUCUUCCUUUUCCUUUCUCAUAAUUAAACUAAUGGCCUUGGUUACCAACUUGGGUGCUAAAAAGCCAGUGGUGAUAUUCAGCAAAAGCUCUUGCAGCAUGUGCCAUUCCAUCAAGACUCUGAUAAGCAGUUAUGGGGUGAAUGCUACAGUAUACGAGAUAGAUGAACACCCAAAGGGGCAGCAAAUGGAGAGAGAGCUGAAGAUGUUGGAUAGUAGUAGGCCAAGUGUGCCAGCUGUGUUCAUAGGUCAUGAACUCGUUGGUGGCCCUGAUGAGAUAAUGAGCCUCCAACUCAAGGGCAAGCUGGUGGACUUGCUCAAAAAGGCAAAUGCCAUAUGGGUUUAAUUAACAUGAAAAAAGAAAUAGUCAAUGUUUUCCUUAUGUAACAUACCUAUGUAUUAUGGUUAUGGAAUAUGUAAGACCCUUACUAUAUAUAUAUAUAUNNNNNNNNNNNNNNNNNNNNNNNNNNNNNNNNNNNNAGGAAUAUUUAUUAUGGGGAACAAAAAGCUUCAGGAGUGGAUCAAUUUAACUUCUGUCUCCACUUGUUUGAUGCCAGGGAAAAGAUAUCAUCACUAGUAAACGAUCUAAACAUUAUUAUUAAUAUUUAUAAUGGGAAAGAAAAUAACUUCUCAACUAGGUAUAUUUUGAGGAUAUCCAGAAAACUUGUUUUCAGAGACUAACUAAGUGCGCAGAGAUAUCCAUGAUUGAGAAGCCAGAAACUUUUAUUAUUGCUUUUAUCAACAGUUUAUCCCGUUCUGAUGAGAAUAUCUUCUGCUACAUAAGAUAUGUGCCAAUCUUAACGCCAGUAACAUGAAAUAAAUUUAAAAAAUAAAAUAAAUCUGCAAAUCCUUCAUCAAUUGAGAUGCCUAACACUUUUAUCUCGUUCUAAUUUGAGUAGAAAAAUAUAUUAUUUCAAAGUUUUGAAUCUUCGUACAUAUUAAAGCACCAAAAACAUGCACACUACGAGGUCUUGUAUGCAUAACCUCAAAACAGUCAAUGUACUAUCACUUAUUUCAAAAACCUCUUAGUAAAAUCUUUCUUAAUGAUUUUUAUUAUCACGGUUUUCCACUUAGAUAAUAUAAUAGCCAUGGCUACAAGGUUAAGUGCUGAUGACAACCCAUUGGUAGUUUUUCAUUGAGACUCUUAUUUAUAGCUUUGGGAAAAAUCCAACAGAGUUUAUGAGCAUCCUAAUGGGCACAGCCUUGAUUUUAGGUAAAAGCUAGCACUGUUACACUUCACUAGUUUCUGUAAUUAGCCUUUUUGCAAACCUUUACAGUUUCCAUACUAUGUAAUGUCAAUCACGAUAAUGAAUCCUAUUUUACAAUAUUGGUAUUAAUCGAGUUAGCCAAUGAAUCUUUGUGACAUCGUAUCAACUAACUGCGAUAGACACCAAAUCUGACAUGCAUAAAAGGUUGGACAGAUGUCACCUCAGACAAAGGAUAAAUAAAGAAUAUAGAAUAUGAUCCUAAGUAACAAACUAAACACCACCACUUACACAAGAAUGCCCAUCUCACUACUAUGAGAAAGUAAAAAGUAAGUCACAGAAUAAUUACACAACUCGCCCUUGUAAUAGAGUAUAAGGUAUAGUUAGUAAAAUUUUAAUUUAAUUAACCUGGAACACAACACUAAAUUACAUUUGAGAAAAAAUAACAGGAUACAAAAUUGAGAGUUACCCUAUAUAUAUGUGGCAUUCAGAUUAAGGGUUUGCAGUUCAAAGAUCUUUCUUUUCAAUUCACCAAAACAGCAGAAAGAAUAAUGAAAUCGUUGUCAAGCACAUGAAUUCGUGAAGAAAUCCUGGAAUUACAAAAACAUACGAACAUCCCUAAUUCCCUAUUCCUAUGAACUUAUAGAAUUCCAAGAGUCGUCAUAAUGGAAACUAGUACAUUAGUGAAACCUAAUAAUAUCAUUCUUCGCUUCCCUUUGAUUAUGUUUAUGAAUAUACAAAUAUCCAAACCCUAACGAUACAAGUUUCAACAAAAUUAAUCCGAUUGGCAAAACUACAUUAAGCAUGAAACACGAACACACAGUGACCGAUAUACACAGACAUUGGAAUAAGAGGAUACCUAAAUUAAAUAAUCUGGAGAACGGAAGCGCCUAGUUACGACUGACAUAAUAAUUUUAGAACGAUGAAGCGAUUUGCAUUUGAGUCGUAUCAAAUGACUACUGUUCUUGACCUCUUGGUAGCAAUCACGUCCUUUCCGUUUCCGGCCAGACUACAUGCAAUGGUCCUAUCCAACUUUAAUAAGUCCGACCCGAACAGCCCUCGAUCUUCUAAAAAUCAAUACGGGUAAUAUCAAAAUAGUUUAGAGUAAAUUACACAAAUGGUACCUACGGUUUGGGGCAAUUUGCACGUUUGAUCCCUAACUUAUUUUUUUAACUCAAAAGAUCCUUAUUAUUUGAUUUUGUUACACGCUUGGUCCCUACAGUUUGUUUUUAUUACGUGUUUGUCCAUAUCUUACCUAAAAAUACUAUUAUUUAAAUAGAGAAAAUUGAUAAAGUAUGUAAGGUAAGGCGAGGGAUGGGGUUGUGGGUGUGUUUAUUUAAAUAAAUUAAAAAAUCAAAGACAAAAUAGUCUUUUUAGUUAAGAUAGGGACCAAGCGCGUAACAAAAACAAACAGUAGGGACCUUCCGAGUUAAAAAAAUAAGUUAGGGACCAAACGCGCAAAUUGCACUAAACCAUAGGGACCAUUCGUGUAAUUUACUCAAUAGUUUAGCUAAAAAGUUUGUCAUGUUUUGUCUCAAAGGGUUAAUGUCUAAACAAAAAUUGUCUAAGAGCAUUGUAACGUCCCAAAAUUCAAGAGUAAAAAUUUCUUUUAAAAUAAACAUUACUUAAAGCAAAAUCAUUGGUUCAAAACAUAAUCAGAGUAUUAGUUUCCAAAACACAUGUUCGUUAUCAGAGUAAAACAUUCCCAGGCUGUCUAAUCUAUGAUGUGUGCCAUGUGAUCACCCCGAGCUCUUCCCUUCGCUACCGGAAGCACCUGAAACCAAAACUGAAAACCGUAAGCACGAAGCUUAGUGAGUUCCCCACCCUACCACAUACCAAGCAUAAUCACAUACUGCACAUACUGGGCCACACCCGCUAUCCUGGGCCUCGCCCCUACCUCGGGCCUCACCUUUCCAAUUGUUGCACCCUAUAUAAGGUCCUUAAGUCCCUAGGGUUGGCCUUUUUUAUCAGCCUCCGUUGCCCUAAAACCCUAAAUCUCGACCCUUAGCCUCCAUUGUUGUGUCUUUGAGCUCUUAAGAAGAAUUUGGCGGUUAUUUUGCUCUUUUUUAAGGAAG